RNAcentral lists this long non-coding RNA (265 nucleotides) under Lepisosteus oculatus (spotted gar). RNAcentral describes it as "lncRNA (ENSLOCG00000022194.1)". Lineage: Eukaryota; Metazoa; Chordata; Actinopteri; Semionotiformes; Lepisosteidae. The record is from RNAcentral.
CAAAGUCAACCUUCCAUGUACAAAAUGCCUGUGUCACGUGCUUAUGAUUAACUCCUUACUCUCCACGGUAAGGUACUGUAAUCAGUCUGGAAGUCUAUAUAAUGAGGUGUGCGUGGUUGCCAGGAGCACUGGAAGCAGAACACCUGAGCUCCAAGAGAUAGCCCAAACUCUGAAGCUGCUGAAAUCUGUCGGAGAGAAAGAAAGAGAAGGUUCCGAACCACUUGCUGACGGAGAAAGAAAGAGCAUUUUUUCUUAUUUCGCUUGA